RNAcentral lists this ribosomal RNA (253 nucleotides) under uncultured bacterium. Its description in RNAcentral is "partial 16S ribosomal RNA". It matches the Rfam family "Bacterial small subunit ribosomal RNA", at positions 57 to 305 of the family's 1533-position model. The record is from RNAcentral.
GCAAGUCGAGCGGUAACAGGAAGUAGCUUGCUCUUGGCUGACGAGUGGCGGACGGGUGAGUAAUGCAUAGGAAUCUGCCCUUUAGUGGGGGACAACUUGGGGAAACUCAAGCUAAUACCGCAUAAUACCCACGGGUUAAAGGUGGCCUCUUCUUGAAAGCUAUCGCUAAAGGAUGAGCCUAUGUUGGAUUAGCUAGUUGGUAAGGUAAAAGCUUACCAAGGCGACGAUCCAUAGCUGGUCUGAGAGGACGAUC